Molecule: ribosomal RNA, 489 nt
Filed under: uncultured bacterium
Lineage: Bacteria
Description: partial 16S ribosomal RNA
Rfam family: Bacterial small subunit ribosomal RNA
Source: RNAcentral
AUUGAACGCUGGCGGCAUGCCUUACACAUGCAAGUCGAACGGCAGCAUGAUCUAGCUUGCUAGGUUGAUGGCGAGUGGCGAACGGGUGAGUAAUACAUCGGAACGUGCCCUGUAGUGGGGGAUAACUAGUCGAAAGAUUAGCUAAUACCGCAUACGACCUGAGGGUGAAAGUGGGGGACCGCAAGGCCUCAUGCUAUAGGGGCGGCCGAUGUCUGAUUAGCUAGUUGGUGAGGUAAAGGCUCACCAAGGCGACGAUCAGUAGCUGGUCUGAGAGGACGAUCAGCCACACUGGGACUGAGACACGGCCCAGACUCCUACGGGAGGCAGCAGUGGGGAAUUUUGGACAAUGGGCGAAAGCCUGAUCCAGCAAUGCCGCGUGUGUGAAGAAGGCCUUCGGGUUGUAAAGCACUUUUGUCCGGAAAGAAAUGGCUCUGGUUAAUACCUGGGGUCGAUGACGGUACCGGAAGAAUAAGGACCGGCUAACUACGU